AUUGAACGCUGGCGGCAGGCCUAACACAUGCAAGUCGAACGAGUGGCGGACGGGUGAGUAAUGUCUGGGCAACUGCCUGAUGGAGGGGGAUAACUACUGGAAACGGUAGCUAAUACCGCAUACCCUCGGAUGUGCCCAGAUGGAUAUAGCUAGUGGGUGGGGUAACGGCUCACCUAGGCGACGAUCCCUAGCUGGUGUGAGAGGAUUAGCGGCCACACUGGACCUGAGACACGGUCCAGACUCCUACGGGAGGCAGCAGUGGGGAAUAUUGCACAAUGGGCGAAAGCCUGCUGCAGCCAUGCCGCGUGUAUGAAGAAGGCCUUCGGGUUGUAAAGUACUUUAAGUGGGGAGGCGUUACCCGCAGAAGAAGCACCGGCUAACUCCGUGCCAGCCGCCGCGGUAAUAC
Molecule: ribosomal RNA, 406 nt
Filed under: uncultured bacterium
Lineage: Bacteria
Description: partial 16S ribosomal RNA
Rfam family: Bacterial small subunit ribosomal RNA
Source: RNAcentral